Cinara cedri is the source of this 226-nucleotide non-coding RNA. Lineage: Eukaryota; Metazoa; Arthropoda; Insecta; Hemiptera; Aphididae. The record is from the annotation of a GenBank genome assembly.
GUCCAAUUUUCUUCUCAUGCUCCUUACCCGUUAUAAUAAAUAAGUCUACAUGAUAUUGCUCUUCAUAGUCUAUUUUCGGACAUUCUUAGAUUUCUAGUGGUGAUAAUAAAUAGUAAUACUAGUAUACUACAGUAUAGUUUGUCCCAAUUAUUAAGGAAACUACUAAGAAAAUCAAAAGAACAGUUUCUUACUCACCAACUAAAUAAUGUUUGUGUCAGAAAAUAUG